RNAcentral lists this ribosomal RNA (610 nucleotides) under Marinobacter sp. Its description in RNAcentral is "bacterial SSU rRNA". It matches the Rfam family "Bacterial small subunit ribosomal RNA", at positions 45 to 647 of the family's 1533-position model. Lineage: Bacteria; Pseudomonadati; Pseudomonadota; Gammaproteobacteria; Pseudomonadales; Marinobacteraceae. The record is from RNAcentral.
CGCUUACACAUGCAAGUCGAGCGGUAACAGGGGGUGCUUGCACCCCGCUGACGAGCGGCGGACGGGUGAGUAAUGCAUAGGAAUCUGCCCAGUAGUGGGGGAUAGCCCGGGGAAACCCGGAUUAAUACCGCAUACGCCCUUUGGGAGAAAGCAGGGGAUCUUCGGACCUUGCGCUAUUGGAUGAGCCUAUGUCGGAUUAGCUAGUUGGUGGGGUAAAGGCCUACCAAGGCGACGAUCCGUAGCUGGUCUGAGAGGAUGAUCAGCCACAUCGGGACUGAGACACGGCCCGAACUCCUACGGGAGGCAGCAGUGGGGAAUAUUGGACAAUGGGGGCAACCCUGAUCCAGCCAUGCCGCGUGUGUGAAGAAGGCUUUCGGGUUGUAAAGCACUUUCAGUGAGGAGGAAAACCUUCUGGUUAAUACCCAUGAGGCUUGACGUUACUCACAGAAGAAGCACCGGCUAACUCCGUGCCAGCAGCCGCGGUAAUACGGAGGGUGCAAGCGUUAAUCGGAAUUACUGGGCGUAAAGCGCGCGUAGGUGGUUUGAUAAGCGAGAUGUGAAAGCCCCGGGCUUAACCUGGGAACGGCAUUUCGAACUGUCAGGCUAGAGU